AUAGCUUCUCGGCCUUUUGGCUAAGAUCAAGUGUGGUAUCUGUUCUUAUCAGUUUAAAUACUACUUAGCACAUUGGUUUCAGUUUGGCUGUGGGGUCCUUCAUUGAACAAUUCUGAUGAAGUCAAAUUAAC
Molecule: small nuclear RNA, 131 nt
Organism: Chlorocebus sabaeus (green monkey)
Lineage: Eukaryota; Metazoa; Chordata; Mammalia; Primates; Cercopithecidae
Gene: U2
Rfam family: U2 spliceosomal RNA
About the family: U2 is a small nuclear RNA (snRNA) component of the spliceosome (involved in pre-mRNA splicing). Complementary binding between U2 snRNA (in an area lying towards the 5' end but 3' to hairpin I) and the branchpoint sequence (BPS) of the intron results the bulging out of an unpaired adenosine, on the BPS, which initiates a nucleophilic attack at the intronic 5' splice site, thus starting the first of two transesterification reactions that mediate splicing.
Source: Ensembl